Molecule: long non-coding RNA, 1388 nt
Organism: Astatotilapia calliptera (eastern happy)
Lineage: Eukaryota; Metazoa; Chordata; Actinopteri; Cichliformes; Cichlidae
Source: Ensembl
UUUGUUGUGUAAAGUUCAUUAUAUAAAAUUUAUUUUCAAUGACAAUAUCAAUGCAAAUAUAGCACUACAGUGAUUUCCAAGGUACACCGUAUCUUACCAUAUCAAUAUAGUAUGGCACUCAUAUAAUGGCCACUGUUUUUAGAAGACACACAAAACCAACAGCUUCUGUAAACUAUUCUGGAAAUGAUACCGAGGGUUCCAUAUCAGUCCGUGAAAAGGAAUCAUAGUAAGGUGAUUACUUGGUAUCAGCAAUCAAAAUUGGGCACAAUAGUAAGAAUCAUUGGAGCAUUUCAGUGUAAGGAAUCUCUGCAUGCAUUGCACUUGCCCAUUUCCGUCAACCUGGCCUGUGUUUGCUUGAAAAUGGACUCUGAUCCUCAAACGCGAGCAGGUGGAGCUAAAAACAAAAAAGGCCAAGUAGUGACUCUCAAACACUUAGAUAGGUCUUCUUUUCACUGGGUGUACUGUACUGUACAGUUUGGUGCUUACUAUCAUUAAAAACGACAACAACCAAGAGACAUUCAAGCGCCUUAAUACUAUUACAGACGGGCUCACUCUUUAACGUACGAACUUCAUUUCACGUGGCUUUCAGAAAGGAAAAACAAAAGAAAGAAAGAAAACCAAAAUAAUAAAUAAAAAUAAACCCAAAACAAAUAUCUCACAAUAAGCACUAUAUUAAUAAUGUUUCUCAUGGUAACACUGUAUAGUUGAGUGAACAACACCAGUAGUUCAAGAUAGCAGCAAGUAUUCAAAAAUGUCAAGACAACGGGCUGUGGAAAUCUGUACACAAAUAAAAAUGGAUGUAGAAAAAGGGCAUAAAUAAAUCAAUAACACAGCUUAAAGGGAGUCUUGCAUAAAUUGAAAUAAACAACUGUUGGGCUGUGCCUUUCUUUAGAGGGCUUACUGUUUAUUAGUAGAACUAUAAGUAAUGCAUGGACUGGCUGCAGCAGAUAAAGUACUUAAUUCUUUUAGAAAAAACAAGUGAACAAAGUUAUGUUUAUACAAUAUAUGCUACAUAAUAUGUAUUGAUUACAAGUAUGAAAAUGGAAAUAAUUGCUACAUUUUCAAUAGAGUUGUACAUAUCUAUUUACAGUACAUUAGGGUUUAACUUGUCCUAAGCGUAUACAAUGUUUUGUGCAGAUUGUUCCAGCAUUCUGUUUGAGGUGAUCAAUACUCACAGUCUUAUCAGUUGCACCAUAUUGCACAGUCUGUGUUGAUGGGUGUUGAGUGCCUGUUUUUCGGUGUGGUGGAACAAUCACUAAUGUGCAACUGUGGAUAAGCAUGAGCGAUGAAAUUUUUUUUGUACCAUUGAACUGUAUCUAUAUUUGGCUGGACUGCACAGCAUGUGCCAUCUGUCACCUAUUUAUUUAUUAAUUUUUUUCCUAAUGAGG